CCAAAUUGAUAUUAAACAAACAGGAAAUAAAAUUCACUAAUGGCCAUGGGCCUUAUUGCAAUUUAUAAAGCGAAAAGAUAAACUCCUAUUUGCUUGGUCCCACAAGGACCAUCUCCAGAUUCGGCAUUCUUGGCUCAGUCGAAUAGCUUUCCCACCUCGUGAAGUCCUAGCAAUAGGUAGGCUCUAGCUAGAUGUCCGCCUUCGGUCCCUUCUGCAUUUUGACAAUCUUCGACCCUUUUGAGAAACUUUCUCUCCAAUUCCACUAUGCCUCGCUCUAAGUAUCCUAGUCGCUUGUUGGCACUGAUAGCCAUGUCCUUCCACUCAUUGAUUUGGUCAUUCGAUCGAAGACUCCUCCACCAGUCUAGAAAGAGUGAGGGUGUGCUAACCAUACCGAAGUUGGGGACCUCGUUCUUCAUUUUCUGCAAAAUAAAACGGCUAAGACCAUACCCCCACCGGACUCAACUAUUUAAUAUCAACAAUUAGCAUGAAGAAUUUAGUUCUCCAAAUAAAUGCACAGAACUUGGUGACGUCCGUUUGGGUUUAGGGAAACCUAGUGGACUUUUUACAAGGCUAUCUUAAAGUAUCAUUAUGUGGACAAUAUAACUGACCCGGCUAGGUCUGACCAUGAUGCAUGCACAAUUUGAACAGAGUAAGGUUUAUAUGGGGUUUUAGACUAGUACCCUUGAGCGGACAACUCAAGGGGGUAGGCACAAAACUGAUGACUGCACCGCUGAUCGACUAGUUUUACUGCAAAUAUGCCUUUCCGAAUUUAUGGGGUAAUGAUAUAGGAAGAGCGCAACUACUCAUUAUAAGCGUUGCUAUAGUAUUUGUUUGGCAUGAGUGGAGUAUGAUGUUGAGCACGAUUAUGAAAUAAUCAAAACAUGUUGGCACGAAUUUGCACAUUAAGAAAGUGAAAUAUACAGCAGUUUCAUAAUUUAAAGAAACAAUAAAGGAAAGAAACAAGAAGACAUUUUUAAAGGAGAUUAACCGCUUAAAGGAAUUAAACAAGUAAUUGCACAUAAGGGAGGGUACAAAUUCACAAGAACAAUCUGAAGUGGUAAAAGCCUAAUAUCCCCAGUAGAGUCUCCAUGCUAUCGAGCCCCCUUUUUCCCUCUUCGCAUCGGAAAAUCGGGUUUACGACAUUUUAGGUAUGGGACAACUCAUUCCUUUAGGGAACUGGGUUUGUAUUUGGAGAGUCGCCACCUAAUGAUUUAUGGUGCAUUAGGACACCUAUAAGGUUCAUUUCUAAGUUUGUUUGAUAAACAGAGAUAGGGUAAGGGCUUGAAAUUAUCCUAAGGGGAAGGUGUUAGGAACCCCCCAGGAUCCACUAGUGUGGUUCCCGGCCAAAUAGUUUUUGUGAAUUUUGUACAAUUAGCAUAUAGACAAGUAUAGGCUCAAAUAGUAGGGGAUUUGAGUUUGAACACAUAAGAGUUUGAAAACAAUUAAAAGGCAAUUUUUGAAAAUGAGUUAUAGUUCUACAAAUACUUGAGAAUAUAAAAGGGGGGGAGGGUCCUAGGUUUAUUUAUAAUAUGGAUCACAUCAACGCGAUACCCGGUAUGACACUCUGAAUAGGGGAUACACGUGAUAUUAGUGCACCGGUCAUCAUAUCCACAUCUACCCUUCCCACUUCGUUAAGGUAUUAAAGCGCGGAUUGGUCUCGACCUCUAUCGCAUGCUAUUACCCGUCCCAUUCCUAUUAGUCACGGAGGAAUUUAGGACUACUAUUCCUAUAAGAGUGAGGAUUUUAGGCUGACUCUUGGGUUUUAAAGGUAAAAAGGCUAAGGCGACAUACAAAACACGUAGGACUGUAUAUUAGGUGAAAUAUAUAAACAAAUAAGAGGCUCAUGUAUACCUCCGUAGACAAUGCACGUAAAUAGCAUGACUUAAACAUAGUUAGGGUCAGAAUUUAAAGUGCUAAGGCCGGGGGUAUUUUAUUUGUUGAAGAAUAGCUAGAUUUAUUACAUAACUCAGAUAAGAAGUCCGAAUCAGGCCUGCCUGCUGGUUGUAGCAGUUGCUAAUUAACAAAGGCGAAUUCAGUUUUAUCAUUAUUUCCUAAGGCUUGCCUAAGUGUGUAUUGGUGAUGUCCUAUAAGAAUGAUGUCUAUUACUGAUUAGGAAUGUAUUAAAGCAGUGGUUAAUUUAAAAAGGCGAUUUGGAUCCUAUAGGCAUGCUUUCUAAACCGUAUUAAUUAACACGAAGAGAGUGAACUAUUUAAUUUGAUUCAGAUAGGCAUGAGUCAAACUGAUUUUAACUAGACUGAUUUAGAUCGUAUAGGCAUGCUUUCUAAACCGUAUUAAUUAACACGAAGAGAGUGAACUAUUUAAUUUGAUUCAGACAGACAUGAGUCAAACUGAUUUUAACUAGACUGAUUUAGAAUAAACCACCUCAAAUGCCACUUGUUCUCAUAGCCUUUCUCAAACCUAGGUGUGUCAAAGUUCCCUGAGGGUCUCCAGGGACCACGGGCAGUGCUUACACCCAAGUUUGCAUAACCAGAUAGAGAUGAGUGCAGUGUGGAAGGGCCAACCCUUAUGUGUCCAAUUUUAGAGAGAGCUCAAGGGUCCCAAGGCAAGGCUCACACAAGAGGGGCAGAACAUAGGUUCUAAGAAUAUAGUGGAAGUGCAUAAUACAUAGAUUUAUUUUAAAAACUGGGUUGAAAAUAGUAAGUGGUAAGGUGAUUUGAAAACAGUAGUAAUAAAUCUCAAACUACACAGAAUUAGAAGUUACACAAAGGGGUCAGGGGUUUUGGGAUUACAUUGCAUGAAGCAUAUGACCCCACAAAGGGUCAGGUUUGGUCAUGUACAUCAAUAGAUGAUGUUGGAAUGCCCACAAACCAGCCAGAGAACACAAACACAUAGGGGGAUAUGGGGGUUUGGGAUUCACAAGUCAGCAAAUCACAUAACAAGUGACUGUCAGAGUACAUACACGAGGGGAACCAUUAAUUUAGAAGGGGAGGGAGCAGAUUACAACAUGCUUAGUAAUGUAACUUGAUUGCAUAAACAUAAGCAGAAGCAGGCAAGAGUGAAGGAAACUGAAACAUCUAAAGAAACAUGUUGUUGGUGAUGCUUUAAGAUUAACUAGGACAUACCAGUAGAGAAGCAAAGUGCAAAAAGAAAGAAAUAAGCAAGAUUCCACAGUCUAGCUUUGUCUUUCAGCCGGCUAGACAGAGUAGUAGAACAAGUAGUAGUAGAGAAAAGAGAGAAAGUUUUGAGUGUAAGUGUGUGUUCUUGAACUCAAUUGUCCGUGCCUUGAAAGAAGAGGGGGUGGGUGUUUAUAGUUUUGAAAACGAGUGAAGAAGAGGUAAAGUCUUAAACACAAACAUGGAAAUAAUCACAAGUCAGAAUCAAUUAACACAAGUGAUUUCCUUUAAUUAAGGAAUCACUGUUUAAUAGGUAGUAGCAUGUUUAAUUAAGGAAAGAAAAUUAGUUUGGGACAGAUUGAUUAUUGCCAUAUAAGAGGCAGUAAAAGUACGAAGUAAACAAUCAAGUCUAAGUACAAAAUACGCUUAUUUUGGGAAAGGAUUCAGCAAGGUAAAACAUCAGAGUAAAGGAAAGGAAUCAAUUAAUUUAAAUAAGUGAGUGAAAUUAAGGUUCACAAAAGAAAGCUUUUUUAAAUCAGUGACAAGAUCAAGAGCAAUUAAGGGAGAAACAUGGUUCUGCACUUUAGUAUAUAAAUAGAGUGAACAGGAGCAUCAGACAUGUGAGGCCAAAUACAUUGGCAAAAGAGAUAAUACAAACAUACAGUAGUGGCAGAAAUAAGCUAAGAUUCAGUAGUAAGAAAAACGUUCGAAGCACAGUAGUCAAGUGGGUCAAGUAGUCACAUAGAAUCAACAGCGAUGAAGAACAUUGUAUCAGGUACGAGAAAUUAAAAACAAGUAAAGGUUUCGUAGUAGUAAUAAGUGAGAAAAACUUCUAAGAAAUUUAGGGCUUAAACAGUAGUCGAGUUUUAGAUAUGGUAUGAACUUCAAAAUCAAACAAAUCAAACGAGGAAAAGAGAGUCAGAAACAAAGAACAAGUACAUAUUUAAACAAACAGUUUCAGAACUCAGAUAAGACUAAAAGGAACUAGGGUUUUUAACAUGCUGAAACAAAUAGAAGAACAACAUGAGCAAGUCAUUUUUAAACAUAGCAACAUCACAAACAACAUUAAAAUCGGAGACAAGAUCUUUUAAAACUUAAAGGAAAACCUUAAUCGUCGGAAAAUGAAGAGUCGUUUUGAAAGAAAAGUUGAAGAACCUUCGAGAAAACACUUAAGAAAUUCAUAGCAAGCACAUAUCUAUGAUAGAUCUAAAAAAAUGAAAGAUCUUAAGAAAGGUCAUGGAUGGUCGAAGAAAGGCCAUGAACAGAAGUCGAGCAAGGAAUGGACCAGAUCCCUUCGAGGUCUGGCCAUGAAGCCACAUAAACCAAAACCCAGGAGCCAUAGGAGGCUGAUACACAUCCCCAAUGGCCACGAGAGGCCAUGGAUUAGGCAGGGGCUAAGGUAGAUUAGGGUGAAAUUAGAUGGCGGCGGCUAGUGUUGCUGAGGGGUUUCAAAAAGAGUUGAGAGAAGAGGGAUUCAAGGGCGGUGUUUUGUAAAGAAUGAGGUAGGUUUAGGGGUCUUUUGGGUUUAAUUAUGGAAGGGCGAAUGGUGGUCGUUGAUCUGAAUGAUCAACGGCCUAGAUUCAAAAGGGUAGGUAGGGGAAUCUGGGUUGGGUCAUUUGAAUGGGUUAGGGGUCGGGUUUAAAUGAAAUGGGGCCAGGGAAAUUGGGUAUAAUUUGGGGUCGAAUUUAGGCUAAAAUUGAAAUGUAAUUGGGCUAUUAUUUAAAUAGCCAAUUUUUCCUUUUAAAAUUAUUAAAAAAUAGUAAGUUAAUUUUUGGAAAUAAAUUGAUAGCACUAAAAUGAUUUAUGACAUAUAAUUAACAAUUUAAAAAUAUAGGACUUAAUUUUAUGAAUAUAAAACACAAUUGAAUCUUGAAAGAACUAAUAUUGCAAAUAUGUGCAAUUUAGCUUAAAAAUACUAAAUAAGUUUGUACAAAUAUGAAAAAAUUACCUUAGCUAUAUCUUAGCAUAAAUAUAAAAGUCCAACAAAUGAAUUACCAAAAUAAUAAUUUUGACAAUAAUUAUUGGGUUUUUAUUGAUAAAAAAGGGAAAUAAAUUGGUUUAAAAAUUAUGGAAAAAUAAUAAAACACUUGGAUAUGCUUACAUAUGCAUAUAUAUGACAUUUUGAAGGUAUUUUGCGUAUUGAAAAUAUAUAGGAAAAAAGUGGGUAUCAACACCGGCGUGCGCCCUUAUGAAGGAGUCUGCCAACAUGGCAAAUGAAUCUAUGCAGUUGGGAGCCAGGUUGUGGUACCACAUCAUGGCCCCAUUCGAGAGCGUUUCUCCAAGUUUCUUCAGCAGGACUGACUCGAUCUCAUUGUUCUUUAUGUCGUUGCCCUUCACCGCGCAUGUGUAGGCAGUGACAUGUUCGUUUGGAUCCGAGGUCUCGCCGUAUUUUGGGAGUGCUGGCUUUCUAAACUUCUUUGUGAUGGGUUUUGAAGCUGCUUCCUCUGGGAACGGCCAUUGCACAAACUUUCUCGAAUCUACACCUUUCAGGACCGGGGGUGCUCCCGGGAUCUGAUCGACCCUAGAGUUAUAGGUCUCGACUUUUCUAUCAUUGGCCGCCAUUAUUUUCUCACCUGAUUCAAUCCUUCUGGUGAGGUUCUCAAGCAUCUUUACUAUGGCAGGGUCGGCUUUUGACCCGUUAUUGCGCGAUCCUUUGAGCACUUGCUCGGCGGGGGGAGUUGUUUCUGGCGCUGGUGUGCUGGGAGUCUUCGGAUGGCUUUGCAACUAAGCAAUGACCAACUGUUGUGCUUGCAACAUUUCCAAAAUACACAUGAAGACUAACUUCUUGUUCUUCCCGGGCUGGGGUUUUUUGGGCUUCCUAUCAGGCGUUGUGCCGUGUGUUCCUAUCGGUGUGGGAAGUUUCAUCGACUAGUUGUGCGUCCUGUGAAUCUACGUCCUCUAGAAUCAGUCCAGGCGCAUUAUCAGGAUUCUGUGGCAGAGCUCCAGUGACCGUGGCAGCCACACGUUUUGUUCCCUCGAUUUUUGUGGUUGUCGUUCUCGAUUCUGUUUACCAAGCAAGACAUUUUAACCUGAAAUCAAGAGAUCUUAGACAAGAAAAAGUGUGAAAGGUAACUUGUGUUUGUGCAAUGAAACCAACAAGAAAAUAAUCACUAUUAUUUUUAGUCCCACGGUGGGCGCCAAACUGUUUACCGUGAAAAUGGUAACAACAAUUAAAUGUGUAGAUGGGAUUCUAAAAAUAAGUGGUCUAUUUUUAUGCUAGUUGUUAGAGAAGAUGAUGCUAGGAAUAAGAAGUUUAAUGAAAAAAUGCAAGCCAAAACAAGGCAGUAAUCAAACCGAGAGGCCUGCUGCCCGGUUAUAGGACUGGUCGAUGGAGGACCUCGGGGUCGAUACCUGGGCUCGAUCUUGAGCUAUCGGGAGUGGUCAGGAAUGCGAUAACAGUUAAGAUAUGAUUAAACAAGGCUCUUUAUGGCCAAUAUCAGGUAAUAGAUGAGUAAGAAAGCUAUAAAUGCUAAAGUGGCCUCGAGCCAGAGAGAACGAACAAGUUAGAAAGAAGAGAGAGAGAGAGAGAGAGAUAUUAUUGAUCUUGCGGAGAAAUAGUUGGAGCAACAUAAGCCCUUUACAAGGUAGUGUGGGUUCCCUUUAUAUAGUAAGGGGGAUACAAUAUAAUACAGAGUGCAUUAAAUGCAAAGACAUGGGGAUGGGACGGCUAGGCACGGUGCUAGCGUUUGCUGAUUCUAGCUGCUCGCCUCAAGGAUCCCUCAUCCUUGGAAUAUUCAUUGGGUUGAGGACGAAUUCCCCAUCCUCAGAAUCUUUGUUGGGCCGUGGAUGACCCUCGAAGGAAGGAGCUUGAUCGUAAUGAUGCAGCCUCGAGGUACUGAUAUGACUCCCCGAAUGCACCUUAGCGGCGAGAAAUAGACCUCUCUGAUUUCACCGCAUACAGAUUUAAAUUAUAAGAUUAUGUUUGACCGCGUCGCAAAUAUGAUUCGCGAGCGGGGAUUAUGUUUUCACCAAUUCACAUGUAUGAUUCACGAACGGGGUGAAUAGAUGCAUCAGUGGUUCGCGUCGUUCGACCUUCGGCAGUGCACAAUUUACUUAUAUGUUGGAUUGGGUUGAACGUCCUUGGUCGUAUUUGUGUGUGAUAAUAGACUUGGAACUCUUUAUAGUUUGUGUGAUUAGUUGCUUGAAAUGUCACUUCUUUUAAAUAAUGAAAGUACCUUGAAUUCUUAAAUAUGAUGGAAGGAUUUUCCAGUUAUUAUUCUUGUUUGAGCUUGUUGUUAUCUACAUACAUUAUGAUUUAUGAAUUUGAAACUUCAUAUUAUUAUAUUGUUGGCCCUAAUAAGUGUUGGAGUCGACCCCUCGUCACUACUUCUUCGAGGUUAGACGAGAUACUUAUUGGGCACAUAUUUUUAUGUACUCAUGCUACACUUCUAUACUUGACUGUACAAGAUUUUAGGCAGGUGCAUCUGGCCAUUAGAACGACGCGUAGACUUGACUCCACAGCUUGAGACUUCCCAGUAAGUAGCCCUUUUGAGCCAUUUUGCAACAACUGGAGUCUCUCUUAGGUCUUUAUUUUCCUUUCUAUUCCUUUUCAGACAGUAGGAUAGUAUGGUUUUGUAUAUUCUAAUAGAUUGCCCACAUACUUGUGACAUCAGGCGUUGGCACACACACUAGUGGACUUAUGAUUUUUGGGUUACAUACGAGACUAUCUGUACGCGGCAAAAUCAGAGGACUUGAUUUAUCGCUGUCGAGUCAUUUCGCAAGAAUGCUUCGAGACCCCGAGGACAGGAUAGAGGGGGAAGUUCUCGAGGCACACGGCAAAGUGUGACAGGGCUGGCCUAUCCAGAGCCCCUGCUGAGGCAUCGCGUGAAGCCAUACUCUCUCCAUACUUUGUAAUUAAUGCCCACAUACUUGUAGCCAAGUUCCCCUCCUAUAUAAAGGGGACUCACACUACCUUGUAAAGGGCUGAUGCUGCUCCAUUUUCUCCAUGAAUGCAAUAAUAUCUCUCUGUCUUUCUCUUUUCUUUCUAACUUGUUUGUUCUCACUGGCCCGAGGCCACCUUAUAUCUAUCGUUCUCUUACUUGCUCUUCAUUAUAUAUAUCUCAAUAUUGGCCGUAAAAAGCCUUGUUUGAUUAUAUACUUAAUUGUUAUCUCAUUCCCGAUUAUCCCCGAUAGCUCAAACUCGACCCUGUCAUCGACCCCGAGGUCCCCCAUCGACCAGACCUACACCCGGGCAGCAGGCCCUUCGGUUCGAUUAUUAUCUCGUUUUAGCUUGCAUUCCAUCAUUAAACUUCAUAUUAUUAUCAUCAACUGCUCAAGCAACUAGCUCGGGAAUAGAUCACGUAUUUUUAGAAUCCCAUUUACAAAUUUAAUUGUUGUUACCAUUUUCACGUUAAACAAUUAUGAUUCGUAUUUAUUGUUUCCAUUUAUUUAUGCUUAAAGUUUAGCUCCUAAAUUUUUAUCAAAUAAGGAGAAGUCAUCACUUACUAAUUUAUUAAAUAGGAAUUCACUAGUUAAUUAGUGUUGUCUUGCCUAACAACGGUGUUGGGAGCAUCAGGGCCUGAUAUGAAAUUUGGGUUGUGACAACAUGGUAUCAGAGCACUAGGUUCAUGUAGGUCUCACAAGUUAUGGGUAAACCUAGUAGAGUCUUACGGAUCGGUACGGAAAUGUCUGUACUUAUCUUCGAGAGGCUAUAGGGUAUUAGGAAACUACUCUUUAUUCAUCUCCUAUAGUGCAGUUGAUGGUAUACUAAAUUUCCUUCAUUUAUUCUCUCACAAAUGGUUAAGACACGUACGACAGACGUUCCAUACCCAACAAGAAAUGCUUCCCCUAUUGCUAGAGGCCGAGGCAGAGGCCGGGGGAGGGCAACAACAUGAGGUAGGAGAUGAGGGCGUUUUAGAGCUUCACCAGUAUCACCACCAACAGAUCUAGUAGAGGAUCCAGUUAUCGAGGAGUAGGGUGAGGUUCCCUUACCAGAGCCAACCCCGAUAGAUGUCAAUACAGGACCGGGCUUUCAGGAGGUCAUGCCUUAUGCUGCGGUUCAUGGACACUAUGACUCAGGUUGGUUUAUUUCCAGCAGACCCAUCCAUAUCUCAGGAAGGAGGGAGAGCACAAACCCCUACUACUCAGGCUACUGGGCACGCGGCUGCGAUAUAUCAGACUCCAGGUACACUACCCUUAGGCGGGGCCUAGCCAGUUACAACAGCAGCACCUGAGCCUAUACCAGCUACGGACGGUGAUCUGCAUAAGCUACUGGAUAGAUGGACUAGGCUACACCCUCCUAUCUUUGGGGGUGAGCGGCAUGAGGACCCCUAGGACUUUAUUGAUCGGUGCAAGGACAAACUGCACAACAUGAGUAUAUUGGAGUCCCAUGGAGUAGAUUUCACCGCUUUCCAGCUAGAGGGAAGGGCCCGUAGAUGGUGGCAGUCUUACCUUCUUAGAAGACUAGCAGGUUCUCCUCCCAUGACAUGGUAUCAAUUUACACGACUUCUAUUGACAUGUAUAUUCCACCCUCUAAGAGGGAAGAGUUGCGGUGUUUUUUUGAGCAUCUUGAGCAUGGUUAGUUAUUUGUGAUCGAUUAUGAGGCGAGAUUUUCUAAGUUGUCUCACCAUGUACUUAUGAUACUCUCUAUGGACGCAGAGAGAGUGCGGAGAUUGUUGCAGGGUUGCAUGCCCCGAGAGGUUAAGAUGGGCACUGAUUAUCAGCUAGUAGUAGAGAUUGCUUAGAGGAUUGAGGGCAAUCGCUAGAGGGGUAGAGAGCGGAUACAUCAGGACUAGAGGAUCCAAUUCUCCGGAGAGUUCAAAGGUUCCCCAACUAGGGGUAGAGGUCAGUUUGGGAGGGGUCAACCUAGCAGGCCCGCAUAUCCAACACCACCACCACCUCCUCGGGGUGCUCCAAUGUGACCCUAUUUCAACACUCUGUCAGAGAGUUCUUACCGCCAACCAGUUUAUCAGGGUUCUUCUCAUGCUUAUUUCAGUGUUAUGCCAGAGAGUUCAUACCAUCCACCAGUCAUUUAGGGUUCUUCUUGUUGGUAUUCAGGCCAUCGGGGUCAGACUUCGGGUUAGCAGUCUAUGGUACCGAGAGGUUGUUACGAGUGUGGAGAUUUGGGUCACAUAAAGCGGACCUGCCCUAGACUUCACGGAAAGGCAGUACAGCAGGGUCAUCAGCCCAUGAUUGCAACACCAGCCACCCAAUCGCCUAAAGGUGGGGGAAAGGCUGGUAGGGGCUGUCCUAGAGGUGGAGGCUAGGCAGGGGGAGUUCAGCCAACUUAUUUUCAGCCAGACGGAGGUCAGCCAAUCAGUGCUCCAGCCAGAUUCUAUGCUUUUUAAGCCAGACCAGAUGCAGUGGCCUCAAAUGUUGUGAUCAUAGGUAUUAUUCCUAUCUGCGGUAGGGAUGCUUCGAUAUUAUUUGAUCAAUGGUCUACCUAUUCAUAUGUAUCAUCUCUGUUUUCUCAUUUUCUAGAUAUUCCUCACGAGUCUUUGGGUACUCCUAUUUAUGUGUCCACUCCUGUGGGUCAUUCUGUGGUUGUGGAUCGGAUCUACCGGUCUUAUGUAGUUACAUUAUGUUGUUACGAGACUAGAGAAAACCUUUUGUUACUUGAUAUAAUAGACUUUAAGGUCAUCUUGGGCAUGGAGUCGUUAUGCCCAUAUCAGACAAUCCUUUAUUGUCAUGCCAAGACUAUUACUUUAGCUAUGCUAGAGUUACCAAGAUUCGAGUGGCAUCUAGUCUGGUUAUCUCUUUCCUAUAGGCUUGACAUCUGGACGAGAAGGGUUUUUUGGCAUAUCUAGCAUAUGUUCGGGACACCACCACAGAGUCUCCGACAGUUGAUUUAGUGCCAGUAGUCUCGGAGUUCGCCGAUGUGUUUCCUUCUUACCUUCCUGGCAUGCCGCCAGAUCGUGAUAUUAAUUUAUGUAUUGAUUUGGAUGUAGGUACACAACCUAUAUAGAUCCCACCAUAUCGUAUGACCUCAAAAGAGCUGAAGUAGCUGCUUGAGGAGUUAUUAGCAAUGGGUUUUGUUAGGCCAAGUGUAUCACCUUGGGUGCACCAGUGUUAUUUGUGAAGAAAAAAGAUGGGACUAUGUCUAUGUGUAUUGAUUACCGCCAGAUGAACAAAGUGACCAUCAAGAUCAAGUACCCGUUGCCGUGUAUCGAUGAUUUGCUUAACCAGUUGCAGGGUGCUAGGGUGUUUUCUAAGAUCGACUUGAGAUUGGGGUACCGCCAAUUGAAGAUUCGGGACUCAGAUGUUCCAAAGACUACUUUCCAUACUAGAUAUGGCCAUUAUGCGUUUCUAGUGAUGUCCUUCGGCUAUGUGUACGGUGAAAUCGGAAGACCAAUUUCUCAUUAGCAAAUUGCUUCAGGAGGUCACCUUGGAGGCUCGGGAGCUCGAGCUAGUUACUUCCCUCAAGAUCUAUCGAUACCCAAUCGAGGAUAAUAACGACCGUGUACGUGGUGAAAUCAGAAUACUUGAUUUCUCGCUGACAAGACAUUUCAGGAGCAUGACACGGGACCCCGAGGGCAGGGGGUUGCAACCGAAUCCUCGCCCUCGGGACUAGUCAAAGCCCGACUCAGAGAAAACGAAGAACUAAGCCAGGAAAGAGGGAGAAGUCCUCUAGGCACAUGGCUACAUCUGACAAGCCCGGCCUAUCUAGAGCCUAUGCUGAAGCAUCAUGUCAAGCCAUUCCAUCACCGUACUUUGUAGUUGAUCCCCACGUACUUGUAACCGAGUCUCCCCUCCUAUAUAAAGGGGACUCGCCCUACCUUGUAAGGGGCUGAUGUUGCUCCAUUUCUCCACAAGUGCAAUAAUAUAUCUCUCCCUCUCUUUUCUUCUAAGUGUUUCAUCCUCGCAGGCUCGAGACCUCCUUCACAUUUAUUAUUUUCUUACUUGUUCUUCACUGUAUCGUUUAAUAUUGGCAAUAUAGAGCCUUGCUUAAUCAUACCUCUAACUGUUAUCCCAUCCCCGUCCAUCCCCGAUUGUCCGAGAUCGAUACCAAUGCCGACCCCGAGGUCCCAUCAACCAUCUCCGAGCUUGGGCAGCAGGCCCCUUUGGUUUGAUUACUGCCUCACCUUAACUCGCAUUUUAUCUUUAUACUUCACGCUCUUAGCAUUAACUGCUUUAAAACCUAGCUCGGGGAUAGAUCACGUAUUUUAGAGUCCCAUUUACAAAUUAAUUGUCGUUACCAUUUUCACGGUAAACAAUUUGGCGCCCACCGUGGGGCUAAAAAUAAUAGUGAUUAUUUUCUUGCGGGUUUCGUCACACAAACAUACAUUAUCUUUCACACUUUUUCUUGUCCAAGAUCCUUUGAUUUCAGGCCAAAAUGUCCGGCUCGGUAAAUGGAGUUGAGAAUGACAACCUCAAAAAUCUCGGGGAAAAUGGCGUGGCUAUCCCAGCCGCUGGAGCACCAUCGUGUGGCCCUGAUAUCGCUGCAGGACCAAUUCCAGCGGACGCAGAUUCACAGGGCACACAACGAGUUGGCGAAACUUCUCACAGCGACAGGAGCGUACGACACAGCGGCCAACAGGAAGCACAAAAAACCCAGCCCGAGUAGGACAGGAAGUUAGUCUUCAUGUUAUUUUUGAAAUGUUGCAGGCAUGACAGUUGGCUAUCGCUUAGAUGCAAAGCCGCCCGGAGACACCCCCUUACGAUGAGCUAUUACCCAAGGGAUCAAGUAACGACGGGUCGACAACUAACCCCGCCACAGUGAGGAUGCUUGGGAACCUCUUCAAAAGGAUCGAAUCAGGUUCGUGGAAGCUCUUACAGCAACCGUCUCCUGAGGAAACAGUCCCAGAACUCACUUCGCAGAAACCUGAAACGCCGGAACUCCCAAGGUGCGACAGGACCUUGGAUCCCUACGGGCGCACCACCACUCGCACAUGCUCGUUCAGAGGCAGCGAUACCCGAGGCGAUGGGUUCGAGCCCGUCUUGUUGAGAAAGUUUGAAGAAACUCUUUCGAGAGGAAUCGUGAUGCAACGCCAUUGCCUGGCACAUGACCUUACAGACUCGCUUACUAUACCAGUGUGGUCCUCUGCAGAAUCGCGCGCCAGUGCCACUAAAGCAGUAUCGAGAAGGCCAGAUACAUCUAAGGCCAAACUAAGAAGAAAUGAAAUGUGGCGAGAGGCCGCACCCUAUCUCCUGAUAAGACAAAUAAGAUCGCCCCCGGUCUUGGAUGACUGGCCAACACAGGCCCGCACCCGAAUCCUAAGCAAAGCAUGCCCAACGACUCUGGGGCAUUUUGAGCGAAGCCCGAUCAGGUACCCAACCGAGGUCCGUUGGACACCCACACCGGCACCAGUCCCGAAUCGGGGCCAUGGACAAGCCUCUAGGAAACCCAUCGGGUUCGGUAUAUCCAAGCAGACCCCCAACAAAGGAGCUGAUACAAUGUGGAUGGACAUAUCAUCCAUGCACGACAAAUGGAAGGAACGACUUGAGAAACAACUUACCUCACAAUAGCUGGGGGAUGGCCCGAGGACAACACCCUCGAGGAAACUCCAAAGGAACCAGAUUCAACAAGGCAUAGUUGGUAGGGAACCCCACCCAGCCGAGCUCGAUUUCAGCAUUGUUGUGCCGAACAUCAUGACCACCAUAAGCGAAUCCGGAAACGUCAGGCGGCUCAGACCUGUUCGACCAAGACAUCUCCAAGAGAACUAUGGCCCGGCGCAAGAACCACAGGGCGCGCGGGAUCACCAGCCCAAAAGAACAACAACCAUGUUAUUCAAUAGAGGUCGCCACCAAGUAUCAUCGAGCAGUCAGGCUCGAAUCCAACUCUAAGUGAGGAAGGAUAUCGGGAAAAAUGAAGCCGACAAGCCACAACGUAUUGCCACGAUAGUAGAGGAGCGGCGACACCCUUCAAAGAUCCGUAAAAUGCAGAAAGAAAGCGUUCAUCGCCUGGAAAAGGUAGGUCCGGGGAAUAUACCCGAAGGAUAACCUUGCAUCCAGGGAAAGGGAUGCCGAGACUUCGCCUCGGCCUUAUAUUCACGCGUUGGUAACCCCCUUCCUCAUUUAACCUAUAACAAGUAAAGCAUGUGUUCAUGAAUGCAGGUGUUUCGACCAACUACACCGAUGGCGUCAGGCCAAAGCAAAUAAGGCAGUUCGGACUAACAAACCAAAUCACUCCCACACCUCAAAUCCUUGAUAGAUCCCAGACGCCAAUCGCCACAACAAUCAAGAAGGCCGCACCCUCUAUACAGCUCGCUUGAGCUCAGACUGGAAUGGCGAGUCCGUGAAGCGCUAACUUUUUUAUUCGGACGACAAUGGGCACACCGCUCAGAGGCAAUUUCGACCCCACUCCGCCAAAAGGUUAAAACUCCCCGACAAAGGUGGGACUAAAGCAUUCGACUAAAAGCUACACGCGACGAGAGGAAAUCCCUCACCAUGUAACCCGUCACCGGAAUCGACGAUUCCACCCUCGAAGUGAUCAGAGGGUAAGCAGAACCGCAUCUUCGGCCGAGCCUAGUUUAACUCGACAGAAGGCUGCAUUAGGGCUCGCACCUCAAAACGACAGGAACAUACCUGACAUAAAAAAAUGUCGCAUGCACACCCCGCAGCAGGGAAGAACUACUCCGCUCCUAUGUUGUUUCUUUCCUUUUACUAACCUACAUGCAGGUAGUCAGCCAAGGCAUUCAGAAAUCCUAAAUUCCACUCAAAGAACCGAGGCCUCUGCGGGACCUACCGAGCUCUCUCUCCUCGACCGAGUUUUUCAGCCUAAAGGACCCGCUAGUGAGAUUAUUAGCGAAUCAAUGUACCCCCAAUAAAGGAAUUCAACAAGAUCGCAGCCUUUAUUCUACAAUCGGAUGACGUGCGAUGACCUCCUCUUAAGAGCACCAUCCCCUCGGAAGGGCCAACAAUUUGCAGGCUAAGUUCCAAAAAUAGAACCAUGUAAAUGGAUCAGAUAAUCAGAGGAGCCGCACCAAUACGGGCCGAGCUCGCGACAACGGGACAAUAUGUAUUUACAACAUAUAUUUACACCAAGCAAUAAAGAAUACCCUUUCGGCAUUUCUUAUUUCGAGAAGAUUUCGACAUAUUCACAGCAAAUGCUUCUCCUUUAAAUGAGCCCCGAUAUACUCGGAGACUCAGGAUCAGCAAUUCAACAACUUGCAUGACCUUAGGGUCGGAACUCCGGGGUCAUCAAGCCCUUGGAAGGCAACUUCGAGCUCACGAGAAGCUGUCUUCAAGCUCAAACAAACUCGAUGACUCGAAGACUGCUAUUGAUCGCCAUACAACUGGAAAACCCGAAACUGUAAGACCCCUAGCGGGCAGCCUCGGCAUAACCUGAUCUAUUCUACAAACUAUAAGACCUCGAUAGGCAUGGAAAACUGUAAGACAUCAAUAGGCACGGCAAAUUGUAAGACCUCAAUAGGCAUGGCAAGUUGUAAGACCUCAACAAGCAUGAAAAAUCCUGAAGUUUAGGCUAUACAUUGCAUUUGUAAGAAUCCCUAGAGCGCAUACCCUUUAUGUAGAUUCCUAAACAAUCACUAGGGAUCAAAACUGGCUACGGUCAAAACGGCUGAUACAUCCAAAAUAACGCGACUCGGGGACGCUCGACUAUCGCUUAAAAACACAGGCCACUACUCCGAAUAUACUUCGGAAAGAACCGGUUAAAACAGGCUUCCAUCCACAGGCAAAAACGAGCACUGACAACAUCGGCUCCAAAAUGCAAGAGCGUCGAUCUACUUGACCUACAAGCUAUGAAUCUUACGAGGUGCUCGAAACAUUGCCGACAACGACUUGAAAUCGAGGUUCCUCUGGAACGGACGACGAGUCAGGCAAAAAUAUUAUAAAAAGACCGUAAUGAGCAGAAUCAAAGCCUACAAAAAGCCCACGGGCAAAAAUAGCGUAAGAGCCAUUUUCGCCAGCUAAGCAAGCCUACGGGCCUCAUUGUCACACCUCCUUUUUACACCCGAGAGGGGAUAUAAGGGAAUUUUUUCCAAUUUAAGUGACAAUCGAAACAGGAUUAUCUAUUUUAAAUUCAGAGUCGCCACUUGGGAAAUUUAUGGCGUCCCAAGUCACCAGUUCAAAUCCCGAAUUGAGGAAAAGAUUGACUCUAUAUUACAGUCCGCGAUCCAAAAAUUCGGGUAAGGACUUCUGUUAACCCGGGAGAAGGUGUUAGGCAUUCCCGAGUUCCGCGGUUCUAGCACGGUCACUCAACUGUUAUUAUUGGCCUAUUAUCUGAUUUUAGAACAUUUUGAACCUAUGUGCAUUUUAACUUUAUAACCGCUUUUAUUCAUUUUGGAAAGAUUUCAACGUCAGCCAAAACACAUCUUUCCACACCACAUGAAAUGCACCCGCAGUCUGAGACAUAUUCUAUUUGACAUUGUUAAGAUUUGGAUUUGGGUCACAUGAAAUGCGCACCCGAGUUUAGGAAGGUAAUUUUAAAUUACGCGCCUAAAGCAACUAUACAUUUUUAACUUUGCAAGGGCCAUGGAAAAUUCGACUAAAUGGCACGCCCCGAUUUCUAAGGAUUUAGAUAUUCAAGAUCAAUGACAUGAGGGCCGUGCAUUUUGAGAUUUUAUUUGGCACGGCACACCUCGAUUCCAAUUUUAAAGGGGAUUCAAAACUAAGCUCUUGAGGGCCAUAAACUAUGUCUUGCUUAAUACGGCACACCUUAAUAUAUUCAAGGAAAACAAUUAUUUACACUACGGACAUUCAUAUUAGAUGUGUCCACAAUUAAUAACUCUUAAAAAACUAGAAAGCAGCUCAAUAUCCUUACAAAUUUAACAAACUAAUUUCAAACGAAAUAAACAAAUGAAAGUAAAGCAGACUAGUGAACGAAAUCAUGACACAACCCCAGAGUAUCAAAACAUCACCUUCAUCAUCUAAUCUAUGUUUAAGCCAUAACUUUUCAACUGAUAUUCUCAAGAGACGUCAGACCUUUAAUUUAAAGUCAUUAUCACUUUCUGUUGUUUCAUAGCCAUUGCCCAUGAGAUACUCCAUUAAUUUCCAACUUCUACUACAAUAGCACACAACUGGAACUAACAUCUUUUUCAGCAACAAUUAUUUACAGAAAAGUACUCAAAGUAAGCACACCUUUAAAAUCAUUUUGUUUUGAUGGUUUAACAGGCGCUUAAAUCAACCAAGAUAUAGUCAGAAAAAGGAAUUAGAAGAUAAGGGUAGGAAGUGAACCUGACAUUAGAAACGAAAAAAAAUCAGCGACUACACAUAUUUUGGUUCCAAAGUUCACGCGAGGAAACAAUUGCAAGAGCUCGAACAGAAAUAGCGAACAACGACUUGGAACCAACGAACGGACUGAUCCGAGAUUCAAUCGGCCUUCAUCUUUUAGAACGAAAAUUCAAAGAAACAGUAGUUCCGCCUCUGACCGAAAACGGAACCUCAACAAAAGACCGGCGAUAACCUGGAACUAAAAUGACGCCACUACCACAGCAAUGGCGACACUGGAGCAACAAUCGACGUGACACAUAUGAAGAACUCGUCAGAAAACUAACUCCAGCCAAACUCGAGACAAAACGUCACAAAAUCUAGGACUUGAAAGAUCUCAACUCAUCUGACGUAGAAGUACAACACACUAGUUUAUUUGAAACCCGUUUUAAGAGGUAACAUCAGAGAUUGUGAGUGAAGAAAGCAGAACAUUUUUGUUUUUGACUGUGUGUGGUGGUCGACAGUCUUCAUGGAGUCUCGCCGGUUUUCAUGGAGUUGUCCUUGUGAAGAAGAAAACCAGUUUUGGCGGGGGGGAGGGAAGGGUCGUGUAUUCCGAUUGAAGAAGAAGCAGAGCGUGGGAUCGUUGUUUGGGUGUAAUAGCGGGUUCACCGAUGGUGGUUAGAGGAAGAGAGAAGGGUCGUGUGGGGUGGGGGAAAUAGAGAAGAUGACGUGGGGGGGGGGGGGUAGGUCCGGUCUGCGGCGCCGAUUUUGAUUGAAGACUUUGGCCUCUCCUUUUUGUCUUUUUGGCGUUUUUAUACGUAGAGUCUAGGUUUAGGUUAUUAUUUUGUGUAUUUUAUCAAUUAGUCCCUAGGUCUUUUUGUGUUAAGUCCUUAGGGUCUUUUUUUAUUUAUUUUUAUUCUAAAAAAGAGUCUAGAAGGGUCUCUAGGCUUAAUGGACUAAUCCGAAUUGGG
This 18091-nucleotide long non-coding RNA is filed under the name Nicotiana tabacum (common tobacco). RNAcentral describes it as "long non-coding RNA (NTAB_LNC008533)". The record is from RNAcentral. Lineage: Eukaryota; Viridiplantae; Streptophyta; Magnoliopsida; Solanales; Solanaceae.